This 253-nucleotide ribosomal RNA is filed under the name uncultured bacterium. RNAcentral describes it as "partial 16S ribosomal RNA". It matches the Rfam family "Bacterial small subunit ribosomal RNA", at positions 524 to 776 of the family's 1533-position model. The record is from RNAcentral.
UACGUAGGGUGCAAGCGUUAAUCGGAAUUACUGGGCGUAAAGCGUGCGCAGGCGGUUUUGUAAGUCUGUCGUGAAAUCCCCGGGCUCAACCUGGGAAUUGCGAUGGAGACUGCAAGGCUAGAAUCUGGCAGAGGGGGGUAGAAUUCCACGUGUAGCAGUGAAAUGCGUAGAGAUGCGGAGGAACACCGAUGGCGAAGGCAGCCCCCUGGGCUGACACUGACGCUCAGGCACGAAAGCGUGGGGAGCAAACAGG